Molecule: ribosomal RNA, 467 nt
Filed under: uncultured bacterium
Lineage: Bacteria
Description: partial 16S ribosomal RNA
Rfam family: Bacterial small subunit ribosomal RNA
Source: RNAcentral
GAUGAACGCUGGCGGCGUGCUUAACACAUGCAAGUCGAACGGAAAGGCCCAAGCUUGCUUGGGUACUCGAGUGGCGAACGGGUGAGUAACACGUGGGUGAUCUGCCCUGCACUUCGGGAUAAGCCUGGGAAACUGGGUCUAAUACCGGAUAGGACCACUUCUUGGAUGUUGUGGUGGAAAGUUUUUUCGGUGUGGGAUGAGCUCGCGGCCCAUCAGCUUGUUGGUGGGGUAAUGGCCUACCAAGGCGUCGACGGGUAGCCGGCCUGAGAGGGUGUACGGCCACAUUGGGACUGGGAUACGGCCCAGACUCCUACGGGAGGCAGCAGUGGGGAAUAAUGCAAAAUGGGCGCAAGCCUGAUGCAGCGACGCCGCGUGGGGGAUGACGGCCUUCGGGUUGUAAACUCCUUUCGCUAGGGACGAAGCGUUUUGUGACGGUACCUGGAGAAGAAGCACCGGCUAACUACGUG